RNAcentral lists this long non-coding RNA (1058 nucleotides) under Gouania willdenowi (blunt-snouted clingfish). RNAcentral describes it as "lncRNA (ENSGWIG00000017670.1)". Lineage: Eukaryota; Metazoa; Chordata; Actinopteri; Blenniiformes; Gobiesocidae. The record is from RNAcentral.
CCUUGACUACCAGCGAGCAGCGACCAGCUGCAUCUGAGAAAACUGGGCCCAGACAUGCCACCAAAAAUGGAAGAGAGCUUUAAGCUAUUCAAAGAAGAGCUUAAAGAAAUGAUUAAGGACAUGAAAGAGGAACUAUCUAUGAAGAUGGAGAACAUGACGAAUGCCUUGGAGAAAUCAUUGAAAAUACUGGAGAAUGAUGUCAAGGUACUGAAAGAAGAAAAUGUAAAGAAUGCAGAAAAGAUAAAAACAUUGGAUGCGAGGGUUGAAGAACUGGAAAGAAAAGAAAGAGAAAAGGAUGUCAUCAUCACGGGCCUAAAGAUAAGGCCAAGGAGCUACGCCAGUGCAACAAGACAAACUGAGGAUCAGACCAGCGAAGACGAAAAAUCGAUUGAAGAACAGGUGAUUGAUUACCUGGACUCGAAAGGCAUUGAAGUGAACCCAGACAACAUCAACAACUGCCAGCUGCUGCCAAAACGCAAAGACACCAGAGAUGUGAAAAUUACAUUCACCAACGUGAAAUAUAAAGCUGAAAUAAUGAAACAAGGAAGAAAACUGGCCGGAACGAUGGUGUUUAUGAACGAGAACCUGACGAAGCAAAACGCAAGUAUCGCAUGGAAAGCACGCCAACUAAAGAAAGGAGGAAAAAUUGUGAAAAACUGGACCAGAGGCUGCAGGAUUUACAUCACACCUCCAGGAGGAGAAAAUGGAAAACCCGUUCUAGUCCAAAGGAUGGAAGACCUGGAAAAAUACGAAUGAGGUGCCUAAAAGUCAAGAACACUGAUAAAGGUCAUGGAUAUGGACAGAACCACUAAAAAUCAUCCGCAACAUCAUCAACAUCAACAACGGGAGAUUAAUCAAGUAGACGAAGUGGACCCAAACAACUUUUCACAUUGGAAACAAUACACGAACAGCCAUUACUACACAGAGAAUGACUUCAAAGUGGAAAAUAAGAAUGAAAAAGGUCUGCCACUUGUUCACUGUAAUUGUCGCAGUAUGUAUGCAAAUUUUGAAGACAUUAAGGAUUACAUCUCUACAUUGUAUAGAUUUGACAUAAUAGC